This 467-nucleotide ribosomal RNA is filed under the name uncultured bacterium. RNAcentral's name for it is "partial 16S ribosomal RNA". It matches the Rfam family "Bacterial small subunit ribosomal RNA", at positions 28 to 507 of the family's 1533-position model. The record is from RNAcentral.
GACGAACGCUGGCGGCGUGCUUAACACAUGCAAGUCGAACGGAAAGGCCCUGCUUUUGUGGGGUGCUCGAGUGGCGAACGGGUGAGUAACACGUGAGUAACCUGCCCUUGACUUUGGGAUAACUUCAGGAAACUGGGGCUAAUACCGGAUAGGAGCUCCUGCUGCAUGGUGGGGGUUGGAAAGUUUCGGCGGUUGGGGAUGGACUCGCGGCUUAUCAGCUUGUUGGUGGGGUAGUGGCUUACCAAGGCUUUGACGGGUAGCCGGCCUGAGAGGGUGACCGGCCACAUGGGGACGGGGAUACGGCCAGGACUCCUACGGGAGGCAGCGGUGGGGAAUAUUGCACAAUGGGCGGAAGCCUGAGGCAGCAACGCCGCGUGCGGGAUGACGGCCUUCGGGUUGUAAACCGCUUUCGCCUGUGACGAGGCGUGAGUGACGGUAUGGGUAAAGAAGCACCGGCUAACUACGUG